Long non-coding RNA from Gadus morhua (Atlantic cod), 534 nucleotides. RefSeq lists it as uncharacterized. The record is from RefSeq and is a predicted model, not a curated record. The transcript is spliced from 2 exons. Lineage: Eukaryota; Metazoa; Chordata; Actinopteri; Gadiformes; Gadidae.
CACAUGAGCGGGCUUGUGGGUCAGUACAAACUCGUCAGCUAACACAGCAGCCUGGGACAGUGACAUCACUUUUUGCUCAUUCAAGUAUGUUACUAUUCGUUCGGAUAUACUAUUCUUAAAUUCCUCCAGCAGGACUAAUUCUCGAAGAAAGGAAAAUCUGUAGUUUUAGUGGCGGUGCACCACCGAUCAAACAAGGUGGCCUUCUCUCGAGCAAACUCCACAACCACACAGGUUACAACACUCUCGUUGAGCAUACACAAAAGUGUUGAAGACCUCUAUUGCGUCUGUGCCGGCGACGGUGAGCAGCAUGGCUAUUUUUCUUUCAUCUGCCAGUCGAUCCACUCCGACAGCUGCAAUAUACAGCAGAAACUUCUGUUUGAAAGCCCUCCAACUUGCAUCUACGUUUCCAGUCAACUUUAGCGGACUUGGUGGUUUCAUUGCAUCCAUAAUGUUGUGUUGCUUCUUAUUCUUGACCCUACUCCUGGUACCAUGUAAUGUUCUUAUUCAUCUAUAAAUAAAACAUCAUGAAUAGAA